RNAcentral lists this ribosomal RNA (1020 nucleotides) under Desulfomicrobium sp. RNAcentral's name for it is "partial 23S ribosomal RNA". It matches the Rfam family "Bacterial large subunit ribosomal RNA", at positions 1908 to 2925 of the family's 2925-position model. Lineage: Bacteria; Pseudomonadati; Thermodesulfobacteriota; Desulfovibrionia; Desulfovibrionales; Desulfomicrobiaceae. The record is from RNAcentral.
UGAAUUGAAGCCCCAGUAAACGGCGGCCGUAACUAUAACGGUCCUAAGGUAGCGAAAUUCCUUGUCGGGUAAGUUCCGACCUGCACGAAUGGCGUAACGAUCUCCGCACUGUCUCGACCAGAGACUCAGUGAAAUUGAAUUGGCGGUGAAGAUGCCGUCUCCCCGCAGAAAGACGGAAAGACCCUGUGCACCUUUACUAUAGCUUGACAUUGGAUCUUGAACUAUCAUGUGUAGGAUAGGUGGGAGACUGUGAAGCGGGUACGCUAGUAUCUGUGGAGUCAACCUUGAAAUACCACCCUUGUUAGUUUAGGCUUCUAAUCCCUCGCCGUUAUCCGGCAGGGAAACAGUGUCUGGUGGGUAGUUUGACUGGGGCGGUCGCCUCCCAAAGAGUAACGGAGGCGCGCAAUGGUUCCCUCAGGCUGAUUGGAAACCAGCCGUCGAGUGCAAACGCAUAAGGGAGCUUGACUGCGAGACAGACAUGUCGAGCAGGUACGAAAGUAGGUGUUAGUGAUCCGGUGGUCCCGCAUGGAAGGGCCAUCGCUCAUCGGAUAAAAGGUACGCCGGGGAUAACAGGCUGAUCGCAUCCAAGAGUUCACAUCGACGAUGCGGUUUGGCACCUCGAUGUCGGCUCAUCACAUCCUGGGGCUGGAGCAGGUCCCAAGGGUACGGCUGUUCGCCGUUUAAAGUGGUACGCGAGCUGGGUUUAAAACGUCGUGAGACAGUUUGGUCCCUAUCUUCUGUGGGCGUAGGAGAAUUGAGUGGGUCUGUUCCUAGUACGAGAGGACCGGAAUGGACGAUUCCCUAGUGGACCUGUUGUCACGCCAGUGGCAUAGCAGGGUAGCUAUAAUCGGAAUGGAUAACCGCUGAAAGCAUCUAAGCGGGAAACCAGCCACAAGAUAAGUUCUCCCUUGUCGCAAGACACUGAAGAUCCCAGGUAGACCACCUGGUAGAUAGGCCGGAAGUGUAAGCGCAGUAAUGUGUUCAGCUGACCGGUACUAAUAGAUCGUGAGUCUUAACUCU